GUGACGUUGAGAUUUUUGGCCACAGGAGAUUCUUAUACCAGUCUACAGUAUCUAUUUCGUAUAUCAAAACAAAGGAUAUCGGUUAUAGUUCCUGAAGUCUGUGAUGCUAUAAUUGAGGUGUUAAAGGAUUAUGUUAAGAUACCAUCAUCCGAAGAAGAGUGGCUUACCAUAGCGAAAGAGUUUGAGAGCAAAUGGAAUUUCCCACAUGUCAUAGGAGCAAUGGAUGGGAAGCAUGUUAUAUUACAGUCGCCGAUAAAUAGUGGCAAUGAUUAUGACUGUUACAAAAUGUUUCCAAGUAUAGUGCUGUUUGCUUUAGUUGACGCUAACUAUAAAUUUCUGUACGUAGACGUUGGCAGCAAAGGACGUAUAUCAGAUGGCGGUGUGUUUAAAAAUACCAAUUUAUAUAAAAAGGUCGAAAAGAAGGAAUUGAACAUUCCUUCGCCAGAAAUAUUACAAAUACCGUAUAAAAUUGCAGUGCCCUAUUUUAUUCUAGGCGAUAAAGCUUUUGCUCUCAAUGAUUACACAUUGAAACCUUAUGAAGGUACUCCAGAAAGAGGUUCAAUGGAAAGGAUUUUCAAUUACAGGCUGUCCAGAGCAAGAAGAGUUGUGGAGAAUGCCUUUGGCAUUUUAAGCUCCGUUUUUAGAGUACUGAGGAAGCCGCUACUAUUAGAACCAGAAAAAGCUACGAAAGUCGUAUUGACUACCAUAUGCUUAUAUAACUACUUGCGUAGAGAUUUAGCUUCCUCACAAAGGUUCACUCCCCCAGGAUCAUUCGAUGCCGAAGUUGAAGGGACAGUAAUACCCGGCCGAUGGCGACAGGAUACAGAAAUGUCAUCAAUGCUAUCUAUUCAAGCCAUACCACGGCGAGGAUCAACAAAUAUAAAAGAAAUACGUUCACAUUUAGGGAGACAUUUCAUAACAAACGAAGCAAUUUCUUGGCAGAAUAAUUAUCAGUAAAUAAUAGGUACUCACUUCUUCACCUAAAGUAUCUUGUGUAUUUCCUGGGUGAUUUCUAUCUCCUAGAAAACUGAAGGCUUCAUAGGCAUACCAAUUCGAAACAUAUAUUUCACCACGACCUGCAGUAUAAAAUAAAAAAAAAUAAUAUUAGAAAUAAUAU
Long non-coding RNA from Pieris napi, 1117 nucleotides. RefSeq lists it as uncharacterized. The record is from RefSeq and is a predicted model, not a curated record. The transcript is spliced from 2 exons. Lineage: Eukaryota; Metazoa; Arthropoda; Insecta; Lepidoptera; Pieridae.